GGUCCAGUGGCGCAAUCGGUUAGCGCACGGUACUUAUAUGACAGUAGUCGCGAGCAAUGCCGGGGUUGUGAGUUCGAGCCUCACCUGGACCA
This 92-nucleotide transfer RNA is filed under the name Cinara cedri. It matches the Rfam family "tRNA". From Rfam's summary of the family: Transfer RNA (tRNA) molecules are approximately 80 nucleotides in length. Their secondary structure includes four short double-helical elements and three loops (D, anti-codon, and T loops). The record is from Rfam by way of RNAcentral. Lineage: Eukaryota; Metazoa; Arthropoda; Insecta; Hemiptera; Aphididae.